This is a long non-coding RNA of Branchiostoma belcheri (Belcher's lancelet), 1107 nucleotides long. RefSeq lists it as uncharacterized. Lineage: Eukaryota; Metazoa; Chordata; Leptocardii; Amphioxiformes; Branchiostomatidae. The record is from RefSeq and is a predicted model, not a curated record. The transcript has 3 exons.
CAAGAUUGGUUAAAAUAUAUCGUGAAGCAGUCGUUCUAUACAUUGGGCAAAAUAUUAGGGAAAAUACACUAGUUGCUUUUAAGGGAUGCAAAAAUUUUCACUGAUUUUAAUACGUUAUAUCCAUGCAUUUGGAAUUAUGACAAUAAAUACAUCGGGGUCUCUAUAACAUUUUAUUACAAAGCAUGAUAAGAAGGUUUUAAGAGCAAUUGUUACUACAAAGCACUGUAUUGGUACUUGGUACUGCAUUGUGGUAUUGAAACGUAAUAUUAACAUUUUCCCAUCCAUUUUGAUAUUGAUACUCAACAGGCAUGGUCCAAUUUUUCUCCCCACAGGAAUUGUCAUUUCUGUAUCCGGACUUGCUACAAAGAUCUGGAGGCAAUAAAUAGCGGAUAAUGUAUUUCUCUUGGCCUCUGAUGGCUGUUUAUGUUUAUCUAUUUAACUUUCUCGGCCAAGUUUGUUAGUCUGUUUAGCUAAAUAAAAAUCAAUCAAUUUACUUCCUUUAUGAAUUAGUGUUUUUCCCCAUUUUUGGCAGAAAUAUGUGGUUGUGUAACUUACGUGUCUUCUUUUUUUCGUCACUAAAGUCGACAUAGUCAGACAACAACAUGAAGAUGGCUGAGAUAUUAUCUAUCAUGCAAAUGCUAGGCAACAGAGCCAUGAGAGACUGUCACCUGGUAGGACCAUAUUGUUGCCGAGUAGACUGAUCCAACACGGACUUCCAGUUCAGUACCUGUCAGCAGGAGUCUCAUGGGACGUAAUUCAUCGUCCUAACUUCCUUCCUCUGGCCAACACAUCUAGGAUCUCAGACUUAAUGAUGCUGUCGAAGGCCCCGGGCAUGUCUAUCUCAACGGUGUGAAAGUUCAAAUGUUUAAAAAAACAACAACAAUUGCAGGAAAAACUAAGAAGGUUUGCUUGUAAAGAGAUAACAAUGAGGCAACAAAAAUGCGCCCUGCUCCUGCUGGUCAUGAUGGUUUGAAUAGCCAUGAUUAACAUGAAAGAUCCUGUGGGUCUUUAUUAUAACUCACUGACACGAGAAACACUUGUCAGCGUACUGCUUCGUUGGUGACAUGGUCCUGCCAACGGAUGCCUUCGAUCUUUCUCAGGCACUGG